Molecule: unclassified non-coding RNA, 5512 nt
Filed under: Hevea brasiliensis (rubber tree)
Lineage: Eukaryota; Viridiplantae; Streptophyta; Magnoliopsida; Malpighiales; Euphorbiaceae
Source: RNAcentral
AUUUUAUGGGCUAGGAAAAUUUCCGUUCUUUCUUCUUUCUCUCGAAUAUAUAUAAAUAUAUAAGAAAAGAAGGUUUGCUGUGUUUGGUCUCCAUUGACGUUUGAAGCUGACAGACACCAGCACUGGCAUUCCUUAUUGGGGAUAAUGUUGUCUAGGGAUGUCAUGUUGUUUUAUUAUUAAAUAAUGGUUCUCCGAUGCAAACGACAAGUAUGUUCUGUCGUUGAACACAAAAUAUAACGUUGGUAUUUCAUAACUUACUGUGGAAUGUAUAGAGCAAGUAAAAGAUGGCAAUUAUCAAUUUCCAUUGAAUUAUAUAUUUAGUUAUUUACACGGGAAUACAGAAUUAACCAAGAAAAAAAAAUGAUAUCCAGAUUGAGAAAAGAAUUGAUACACAGCUUGAUCAGACGAAUCAGAAUAAGAACAACUACAUGAACACAUCCAAAGCUUGGCUUGGCUUCUGCUGUUAUAAUUGCUAGCACAAGGCGUUAGGCAGCUAGUGCUAUCGGUCUAAUAAAGGAGUUUGGCCUCUUCUCGGAGUUUUGUAUUUCUUAUCCGUUCUCCAGUUUGUUGGUAAUGUUUCUCAGACAACCGAAUUCUUUCUUGGUAAUUCUGUUCUUAAAUCUAGACAUUCUCUUUCCAGGGAAGCGAGUCUAUUUUUCAUCAGUUCAAGUGCCUUUUCAGCAACUGCAGGGCUUAUAUUGGACACAGGUUUUGCUAUUCCUGCUGCCUGAUGUUUCAAUAGAGUGACAAGACCCUGCCAUCUUCAGUUUCCAGUAGAAGAUUCAAUUCUGAAUAGCAGUCAACUUUAGACCAAAGAUAACAACAGUUUUCUCUUUGGGCUAACCUUCAGUUUAACCAUUGAUUGCUGUGCCUUAAUCAAAAUUUAUACAAGGACUUUUUCCUCUGCCUCUUUAAUAGAAGCAGCCUGAUCUUUGACAAGGGCAUCUUUCCUUUGAUUAAUCUCUGCUGAGUCACAAGGUUGUAAAUUCUUGCACUUUAACUCAUUGAGAUUAUUAUUAACAUUCAAUUCUGAAAACCUAUUCACAAUCACAAAAGCAGCUGUCGCACAAACUGAUGACUUAGUAGCAUGAAGUUCUGCCAGCUUCACUUUGUCCUCCAGCUCUGCAAUUGUAGUUGUUUUCUCUUUUAACAGAGACUUCAAGAGAAAAUUUUCUUUCUCCUUUUCAUUGCACUCCUGUAAAUGUGCUUCAUUGAUCACCAGUACUGCUCCUCUCAGAGACUUAAGCAUACACUCUGCAUCACUUCUUUUAUUGUUUGCGUCCUCUAAACAUUUGCUGAGUUCUUCAAUCAGGAACUCCUUUUCAGAGAUGAUUCUAAUUAACCUGCCAACUUGUUCAGAGAUCCAAAUCCUUUUAUGUGGAAAGGUGGUAGAGAUAUGUUUGAGCUGAUCAGAGGCAUCGGUAAGUGCCUCUAGCCCAUCUGCAACAAUUUCUGCUAUUUCACAAGCCAACAGUUCCCACUCAUCAGAUAAAGUUCUCAAUUCUCCAUCUUUACUCUCUAACUUUCCAUGCAACUCUUUGUUGUCUUUAGUUAAGAGGUGUAACUCUCCCUUCAGCUCCUUCAACUCAUUUUCUAGUAGCAUUACAACUUUAUUAGUCUCGAUCUCUUUCAAAUGGCAAUUGUGGACCUGCUGCUGAAGAAUGGAUAGUUCUUCCUGCAUACAGACAAUAACCUCAACAGUUUCAGCUUCUGCCUGCCUACGAACUUCAUCCAUUUCUUCUUCAUUGGUUGCCUGAAAAGCAUGAUCAUUUCGGUACCACAUAUUCAGUCUCUUGGCCUUCUCAAGUGAAUCUUGCAUCCUCUUCAGUUUCGUUUGUAAAAUAGAGUCCUUACCAUCUAACCGGUCAGAUGGAUAAUCUCUUAAAUCUUGUCGAGAAAGUUGCUCUUUCAGUUCCAUUAUUUCAAACUCUUUUUCAUGCAAAAGCUCCAAAUAGUGACUGUUACUUUUCCUCAGGUCUUCCAUCUCAUUUAUCGUCAGUAUUUGUUGAGACUCAAGGGCUUCAACAACUAACUUUGCCUCUUUCAAUUCAUGAGUUGCUUCUCCAUGUUGCUUGCUUACAAACAGAAGCUUUUCAUUGGCCAGUUCAAGUUCUCUACUCAAGCAUGCUGUCCUUUCUUCUACUUCACCAUGGAUUGAUCUCUCUUCUUUGAGAAUAAUCUUCAAUAUAUCCAAUUGCAGCUGUAAAUCCAAGACUUCUUCCGCAUGUUUCAUUACUGAUAUAAUAUGCAUGCUUUCCCCCCCAUUCUUAACUCCCCUAAGCAUGCCAAAUUCAGAAGUAAGAGCUUCUGAUGGAUCCUUAAUGUUUUUGACAUUGUCAUCUUUAUCCUGGGCGGUACAUUUGAGAUUGUCUAACAUAAACUGCAGAUCAUGUGUUUCUCUACAAAAGAUCAUGAAAUCAAAAUUCCAUCAUGAAACAAAAAAAAUUGCUACCUGAAUUGAGGGAUUCUGGACGACAAUUACAUAUCAAAAUGAAUGUAAAACAGAAUUCCAAAUGAACUUAAAAAGGCACUAGAAUUCCUCACCUACUUAGUUUUUUGUUCUCCUCUAAGCAAGAACUCAACUUACACCUGCACUCCUCUAACUCAUUGAGACUGUUCUUUAACUGACAAAAAUGGAAAGUGAGUGUGAAAUAUAUUAAAAAUUUUCAAGGAGAAAAAAGUGUAAUAUUUCUUGUUAAGCAAGUAGCAGCAACCUCUAAAUGGAGAGAAUUGUCUUUGUUGCUGAUGCACAUAGAUUCCUGAGGUUGGCCAUUGACAUUGGGAUGGUUAUUUCGUAUAGAUUUCCCAUCAAGAUAAUGAAGCAGCUGUUCCUGAAGUUUGGAUACUUUAUCCAAGAGUAUUUCUCUCUCUCCUUCUUGAUAGAAUUCUUGAAAUCUAUUAUAGGCACAGUGAAAAAUUAAUAAAAAAUGAACAUCUAGACCAUUCUUUGAUGCAAAAACAAAGAAAAAACCUUUUGAGUUGGUUCAAAAGCCUUAUAUUCUCCAUUGCAAAGCGAGUUAUUUCAGGAAUUUUAUCUACUUUAGCUUGAAGCAACUGGAUCUCUUCACAGAGGGCCCUGUUCUCUUCAAGCAAAUAAGUAUCUUGAGAUAAUGAAUCACCAAGAAUUGACUCCAUUCUUUGAAUUUUGUCUUCCCGAUAUCUGAGCAUCAUUUUUGUGAUCCUGGUCUCUUCCUCUCUUUGACAAACCAAGCAGUUCAACUGCUCAAUUUUAGCUUCAAGUUUCUUGAUGUGUGUCUCUGCCAUCUGUUCUCUUCUCAAUGCACCAGCAAGUGUUGUCUCCAAAGAAUUCAACUGCUCAGUGGACAUUCUAAUUAUGUCUUUUGAUUCAAAUCCAAGCAGGCCAUCAACCUGCUGCUGAUCUGUUACAUACAUGUUUUCAGAGCAAGCAGCAUCUUUUACUUGAGUCGUAUCUUUGCCAGUUGAACCAAAUGACAAAGAUCUGAAGACAUUUUGACGUUUUAGAAGAGAAAGCUCCUCCUUUAAAAGCCGUAUUUGAUGCUGUAGUGCAAUGACAUCCCCAGUGGAAUCUUCGUUCACAAUAGCAUUAUUCUGGAUAAGUUUUGCUCUCUGAGCAAAUUUUAAAGUACUCAGUGUUUCAGCUGCACAGCAGAUAGAAGGGCUGACAUUAGCAAUGAUCAUUGUUUUUGAGUUUCCACCAAGCGAGUCCUGAAGAAGGAAGGUCAACCGUGAAUCCCUGUAAGGAACAUGUUUGUGUUUCCCGUUUGCCACAUCUACUAGAAUCAUAAUUACAUGACCUAACGUGGACAAUGAUUUGUUUAUGUUUGCAGCUUCCUUUAGACGCUCACCUUCAGCACCUGAACUUUUCUGCCUUUCUGAACCUGCAAGAUCAACUAGGUUCAAUCUAGCAAACCUUAGGUUAGUUGUGGAAUCUUUUUCCCACCUGCUCUCAAUAACACAAGUAAAAACACUAUGCGACCGACUGCUUUGUCUAUUCAUAUUUGUUGCUGCAACUUUCCUAUUUACAGAACCCUGAGUCAGUAGCUUCAGAAUGUCGCUCACAGUUCGAACUUCAAAUUCUGAGAGAUUUUCUACAUAGACACCCUGCUUGACAUCCUCCCUCAGAAGCAAAUUGGUAGAUGAGGGAUCAAGGAGAUCGGUAAUUUGUUCAUUGUAAAUCUCUAAGAAAGAGCACUUGCAAUUAUAUUUUAGUCUUUCAUCCCUACGACUUUCUUCCUCAGCUUGAAUCCUUGCAAACAAAAAUUCAAAUAUCCUUGGUGUCAAUCCACGGCGUUGGCUGGGCUUGACUUCUAAUUCUAAAUCAUCAAUUUCACCAAGCAUUGUGUAUGUCUUCCCACUUCCUGUCUGACCAUAGGCAAACAUACAGCUGUUGUAGCCAGACAAGCAAUUCUCCACCAUGGGGAGACCAGCCAUCCUAAAAAGCAUUUCCUGAUCCACUGUUUCACACGCUACAUGGUCAAAUGUGAAGCGAGUUUCUGAUUGUCCAAUCCAAGUGAUACUUUGGGCACUUUCUUGCUUCAAGCACCUGUUGUAACCAUGCAUACUCUUCUCCAUGCUACUGAGAGGACGCACACGAACAAGAACCUGUACAUUGUGAUCCAUCCAAAAUGAUGGAUCCUCCUUGAGAUCAAAAUGAGGGACUUCAACAGUAUUAACGACAGUAGUACUCGAACCACCAGUAACGGGAACCCCCCUAUACAAUGCAGCAAAGUUUCCUGCACGCCCUCCUCCAAUACCUCCAUCAAACUUACUCCUAUACCCUGAACUCGUAGGCUUAGAAACACUCUUGGUUGGUGUGCUUUGUGUGGAAUUAGUCUCAGAAUGACUUGAAGUAGGCCUCCUCGUCGACCUUGGAGUAAUGUUAGGCAAGCCCCCAUGAUUCAGCAGCAUAGAAUAGUUGUUAAUAUCAGGUCUCAUUUCAUCACGCGAGUCAUUGGGAGUGGAGCUAGGCCCAUUUCCCUGAGUCCACCCCAAUUGGUUCUUGGUAUGAAAUCCCACUCCUCCAUAUUUAUCCGGAGGCAAAGUUGAGUCACAGUUCUUGGGUUUGGGCUUGGCUGGUGUUCUAUCAAUUUUACUUCUAGCGGUUACCGCUUCUUGCUCAAAUUUAGGGUUAGGAGGGUGAAGAAUUGGGGCUGGGACUUGAAUCGUGUUCAAUGGAGGCCUAGAUGAGUCGGCCCUGGCUUGACUCGCCAAUGAAUAUCUAGGAUUUACAGGCACAUUCUCGAUUUCCUCGCUCUGCUUGCCCGAAUUCCGGCGCAGGAAUUUGAAAUCUCUCAACAUCCUGAAACAGGAAUUGAAGAACAAAAUCUGGAGAUUUUUAGUUACUGAAAUUUUGUUUUCCGUUGCUGAGAUGAGAGCUGAUUUCAGCUGGAUUUUUCAGGGACUUUAGUGAAAAAGCUGAAAAAUGAAAACUGGAAAAUUAUUGGAUCUUGAUUUCAGUAAACAUCUCUCUCUCUCUCUCCCUGGAUCGUAGUUUUAGCUUAAAGCAUCUGGAAUUCUGCAUCACUAUUUU